Molecule: ribosomal RNA, 998 nt
Filed under: uncultured bacterium
Lineage: Bacteria
Description: bacterial SSU rRNA
Rfam family: Bacterial small subunit ribosomal RNA
Source: RNAcentral
GGGGAAUAUUGGGCAAUGGGCGAAAGCCUGACCCAGCGACGCCGCGUGAAGGAAGAAGGCCUUCGGGUUGUAAACUUUAGUAAGCAGGGAAGAAGAAAGUGACGGUACCUGCAGAGUAAGCCACGGCUAACUACGUGCCAGCAGCCGCGGUAAUACGUAGGUGGCGAGCGUUAUCCGGAAUUACUGGGUGUAAAGGGAGCGCAGGCGGGAAGACAAGUUGGAAGUGAAAUCUAUGGGCUCAACCCAUAAACUGCUUUCAAAACUGUUUUUCUUGAGUAGUGCAGAGGUAGGCGGAAUUCCCGGUGUAGCGGUGGAAUGCGUAGAUAUCGGGAGGAACACCAGUGGCGAAGGCGGCCUACUGGGCACCAACUGACGCUGAGGCUCGAAAGUGUGGGUAGCAAACAGGAUUAGAUACCCUGGUAGUCCACACCGUAAACGAUGAUUACUAGGUGUUGGAGGAUUGACCCCUUCAGUGCCGCAGUUAACACAAUAAGUAAUCCACCUGGGGAGUACGACCGCAAGGUUGAAACUCAAAGGAAUUGACGGGGGCCCGCACAAGCAGUGGAGUAUGUGGUUUAAUUCGACGCAACGCGAAGAACCUUACCAAGUCUUGACAUCCCUUGACAGACAUAGAAAUAUGUUUUCUCUUCGGAGCAAGGAGACAGGUGGUGCAUGGUUGUCGUCAGCUCGUGUCGUGAGAUGUUGGGUUAAGUCCCGCAACGAGCGCAACCCUUAUGGUCAGUUACUACGCAAGAGGACUCUGGCCAGACUGCCGUUGACAAAACGGAGGAAGGUGGGAAUGACGUCAAAUCAUCAUGCCCUUUAUGACUUGGGCUACACACGUACUACAAUGGCGUUAAACAAAGAGAAGCAAGACCGCGAGGUGGAGCAAAACUCAGAAACAACGUCCCAGUUCGGACUGCAGGCUGCAACUCGCCUGCACGAAGUCGGAAUUGCUAGUAAUCGUGGAUCAGCAUGCCACGGUGAAUACGUUCCCG